Molecule: ribosomal RNA, 791 nt
Filed under: uncultured bacterium
Lineage: Bacteria
Description: bacterial SSU rRNA
Rfam family: Bacterial small subunit ribosomal RNA
Source: RNAcentral
UGAGCGGAGAUAUAUGGAGCUUGCUUUAUAUAACUUAGCAGCGAACGGGUGAGUAACACGUAGAUAAUCUAUCCUAUACUGGGGGAUAGCCCGAUGAAAGUUGGAUUAAUACCGCAUAUAGCUAUAUAGUUGCAUGAUUAUGUAGUGAAAGAUUUAUUGGUAUAGGAGGAGUCUGCGGCACAUUAGCUAGUAGGUGAGGUAAAGGCUUACCUAGGCGACGAUGUGUAGCCGGUCUGAGAGGAUGAACGGCCACAAUGGAACUGAGACACGGUCCAUACUCCUACGGGAGGCAGCAGUGGGGAAUAUUGCACAAUGGGGGAAACCCUGAUGCAGCAACGCCGCGUGAGUGAAGAAGGUUUUCGGAUUGUAAAGCUCUGUUAGCAGGGAAGAGGAAGGACGGUACCUGCAGAGGAAGCCACGGCUAACUACGUGCCAGCAGCCGCGGUAAUACGUAGGUGGCAAGCGUUGUUCGGAAUAACUGGGCGUAAAGGAUGCGUAGGCGGUUAAACAAGUUAUAUGUUAAAUAUAUAGGCUUAACCUGUAGAAAGCAUAUAAAACUGUUUAACUAGAGUGCAGGAGAGGUAAGUGGAAUUCCUAGUGUAGCGGUGAAAUGCGUAGAGAUUAGGAAGAACACCAGUGGCGAAGGCGACUUACUGGACUGUAACUGACGCUGAGGCAUGAGAGCAUGGGGAGCAAACAGGAUUAGAUACCCUGGUAGUCCAUGCUGUAAACGAUGGGUACUAGGUGUGGGUUGUGAAUAACAAUUCGUGCCGUCGCAAACGCAAUAAGUA